UCAACAUGGGAGCUCACUGUCAAGGUCACAUGCAGAGGGCCUAUUAACUCAACCAAUUACCUCGGGGAAGCUCUGAGACAACAGCCAAUCAUCACCCUAGCAGUACGUCACCUGACACAGGUGAGCGAAUGCGCAGAGAGUUUGCUUCUAAACCAGUACAAUUGCUGGAGUUGGUGGAUGUGUGCUAUACUUUGCUUCUUAA
This 202-nucleotide long non-coding RNA is filed under the name Paramormyrops kingsleyae. Its description in RNAcentral is "Nuclear RNase P (ENSPKIG00000015845.1)". It matches the Rfam family "Nuclear RNase P", at positions 1 to 201 of the family's 301-position model. Rfam says of the family: Ribonuclease P (RNase P) is a ubiquitous endoribonuclease, found in archaea, bacteria and eukarya as well as chloroplasts and mitochondria. Its best characterised activity is the generation of mature 5'-ends of tRNAs by cleaving the 5'-leader elements of precursor-tRNAs. The record is from RNAcentral. Lineage: Eukaryota; Metazoa; Chordata; Actinopteri; Osteoglossiformes; Mormyridae.